UUUGCAACAUGGAUGAACCUCGAUGUCAUUAUGCUAAGUGAAACAAGCCAGACACAGCAAGAAAAAUACUGCAUGAUCUCUUAUGUGGAUUCUAAAAAAGUCAAAUACAUAGAAGCAGAGUAGAACAGUGGUUACCAGGGGUGGAGACGUAUGGAAAUGGUUAAGAUGUUGGUCAAAGGAUACAAAGUUGCAGUUCUAUAGGAUGAAUAAGUCUAGAGAUGUAAUGCAUAGCAUAACUAUAGUUAAUACUGCAUUGUGCAUUGGAAACUUGCGGAGAGUACAUUUCAUGCGCUCUCACCACUUACACAAAAUAGUAACUGUGAAGAGAUGUAUUAUGUUAAUUAGCUUGACUGUAGAAAUCAUUUCACUGUGUACAUGUAUCAAAACAUCAUGUUGUACACCUUAAAUAUAUAGUUUUUAUUUUUAAAACACUGUUUGGGAUUAAAAGCCCAGCUAAUUCUGCCUUAAUAUCUCAUUCUUAUCCACAAUGUCCACCCAUAAGAAAGACGCCCGAUACUCCGUGUAAACACACACUCCCCAUCUCCCAUACAAAUUUACCUUCUAGAGAGAGCCCUUUUCCCCAAACUCUCCUCUCAAAACACUCUGAAGCACAAGGUCUUUAGCCUAGUUAGACAUUUUCUGAAAAACUUAGUUUAACUCAGCGUAGAGACACCAUGAAUUUCAGAGACCCAGUCCUGGGCCUGCUUCAGUUGCUUUAGCCUAGAGUUUCAACUCCCAGGUCCCGGGGAGGGAUGCUCCAAGGAAGAAAUAGAGGCCCUAUUCCAGGGCUGUUUCUCGCAGACUAGCCACAGAAAAUGCAGCCCAGCGCCACUUCCUUUCAGUAGCAACACGUUUCCAACACGUUUGUUAAGCGGGAACGGAAGUGAGCGGAAAGGAAUGCGUUUGGUAAAUCCCACUUUAAGGAUUUCGUAAUCCUCCCAGGGAUUCCCACCACCCGCACUCCACUCGCAGACUGCGGGCCUUCCUCCGACGCUGGGAGAAGGACCCUGGGAGAGGCAAGGGAAGGGCUCCGGAACCAGCGCAGCAGCGGGACGCUAGCCCGCCCACACGGCGGCCACUUGAAGGUCCUCCAGGGAACACCUGAGGCAGUGGGAGCGUCUGCCCUUUCCUAAGUCUCCUUGGAAAGAAGUAUUCGCUUUCGUUUCCGCAAACAAAGCAUGCUCCGCGCUUUCAGGACCGGUGGCUCCCGUGGAGACCGCAGCGGAACCCAGUCCGCCUUCGCACGCGUCCGGGGGAGAAGCGGCCCCAGGACUAAGGGCGCGCGCCCGAGGAACCGGUGCUGUGACGACCAGAGCAAACACGCCGGAUGUUCCUGUGUAGGCUGUCCUUUUUAGAACCAAGCAACGCCAAUUACCAACAAAAUCCGUUGCGCCGCAGUGAGUUAGCUACCUUCUAUCUCCACUUUGUUCUGCACGUCGAUCUCAGGAGAAGCCAGCUCCCAUGUUAAGAAGUUCAAAUACCUAGAGACUGCGAUGGUUUGCAGAGGCUCAAGCUAACCACAUGGAAAGACAUGGAGAGAUAUUCCUUGCCAACCCUCAACUACUCCAACUAUUCUAAGACAUCAAACCUGUCACCCACCGGUCUGAAGAGGAGGAUGAGAGACAAAGAAAAAAGUUGUCUGGCUGCCUCUGCUGUCUACAGAUUGAAGAAGAUCCAUCCAGCUGAGCCCAGCCUAGACCAGCUGACUUCUCCAAUAAGCCUGUAUGAAAUAAAUGCUUAUUGUUAUGUGACCUUGAGCUUUGAAGAUAGUUUGUUAUGCAAUAAUUGUUGAUUCUUUCACCCUGUCUUUGUUGAACUGUUAUAGACGUCUUAAUAGGAGUUCACAAUUCAG
This 1852-nucleotide long non-coding RNA is filed under the name Homo sapiens (human). Its description in RNAcentral is "HSALNT0103013". Lineage: Eukaryota; Metazoa; Chordata; Mammalia; Primates; Hominidae. The record is from RNAcentral.